Macadamia integrifolia is the source of this 107-nucleotide small nucleolar RNA. The record is from RefSeq and is a predicted model, not a curated record. Lineage: Eukaryota; Viridiplantae; Streptophyta; Magnoliopsida; Proteales; Proteaceae.
AGGCUAUGAUGAGGGCAUUCUUGGAGUAGAUCCUUAAAUCUUUCAAUAAGUUUAAAAAAGGACUCACUAGGUUUUUACCUAAAUUGAAGGAUAUCACUUCCAAGCUU